GCCCCCAUAGUCUAGCGGUUAGGACGCCACCCUUUCAAGGUGGAGGUCACGGGUUCGAAUCCCGUUGGGGGUACCA
This 76-nucleotide transfer RNA is filed under the name Coriobacteriales bacterium. RNAcentral describes it as "tRNA-Glu". It matches the Rfam family "tRNA". Rfam says of the family: Transfer RNA (tRNA) molecules are approximately 80 nucleotides in length. Their secondary structure includes four short double-helical elements and three loops (D, anti-codon, and T loops). The record is from RNAcentral. Lineage: Bacteria; Bacillati; Actinomycetota; Coriobacteriia; Coriobacteriales.